RNAcentral lists this ribosomal RNA (253 nucleotides) under uncultured bacterium. Its description in RNAcentral is "partial 16S ribosomal RNA". It matches the Rfam family "Bacterial small subunit ribosomal RNA", at positions 524 to 776 of the family's 1533-position model. The record is from RNAcentral.
UACAGAGGGUGCGAGCGUUAAUCGGAAUGACUGGGCGUAAAGCGCAUGUAGGUGGUUCGAUAAGUCUGAUGUGAAAGCCCUGGGCUUAACCUGGGAAUGGCGUUGGAAACUGUUGAGCUUGAGUCGGACAGAGGGCAGUGGAAUUUCCGGUGUAGCGGUGAAAUGCGUAGAGAUCGGAAAGAACAUCGGUGGCGAAGGCGGCUGCCUGGGUCCAGACUGACACUGAGGUGCGAAAGCGUGGGGAGCAAACAGG